UUGACCUCGGAUCAGGUAGGAAUACCCGCUGAACUUAAGCAUAUCAAUAACCGGAGGAA
RNAcentral lists this ribosomal RNA (59 nucleotides) under Fusarium chlamydosporum. Its description in RNAcentral is "partial 28S ribosomal RNA". The record is from RNAcentral. Lineage: Eukaryota; Fungi; Ascomycota; Sordariomycetes; Hypocreales; Nectriaceae.